UACGGAGGAUGCGAGCGUUAUCCGGAUUUAUUGGGUUUAAAGGGUGCGUAGGCGGAAUAUCAAGUCAGCGGUAAAAAUUCGGGGCUCAACCCCGUCGUGCCGUUGAAACUGAUGUUCUUGAGUGGGCGAGAAGUAUGCGGAAUGCGUGGUGUAGCGGUGAAAUGCAUAGAUAUCACGCAGAACUCCGAUUGCGAAGGCAGCAUACCGGCGCCCAACUGACGCUGAAGCACGAAAGCGUGGGGAGCAAACAGG
RNAcentral lists this ribosomal RNA (252 nucleotides) under uncultured bacterium. RNAcentral describes it as "partial 16S ribosomal RNA". It matches the Rfam family "Bacterial small subunit ribosomal RNA", at positions 524 to 776 of the family's 1533-position model. The record is from RNAcentral.